UACGGAGGAUGCGAGCGUUAUCCGGAUUUAUUGGGUUUAAAGGGAGCGUAGACGGGAUGUUAAGUCAGCUGUGAAAGUUUGGGGCUCAACCUUAAAAUUGCAGUUGAAACUGGCAUUCUUGAGUGCGGCAGAGGCAGGCGGAAUUCGUGGUGUAGCGGUGAAAUGCUUAGAUAUCACGAAGAACUCCGAUUGCGAAGGCAGCCUGCCGCAGCGCAACUGACGCUGAGGCUCGAAAGCGCGGGUAUCGAACAGG
RNAcentral lists this ribosomal RNA (253 nucleotides) under uncultured bacterium. RNAcentral's name for it is "partial 16S ribosomal RNA". It matches the Rfam family "Bacterial small subunit ribosomal RNA", at positions 524 to 776 of the family's 1533-position model. The record is from RNAcentral.